Molecule: non-coding RNA, 220 nt
Organism: Chiloscyllium plagiosum (whitespotted bambooshark)
Lineage: Eukaryota; Metazoa; Chordata; Chondrichthyes; Orectolobiformes; Hemiscylliidae
Source: RefSeq, a predicted model, not a curated record
CCCAACAGAGGAGACUUGGCCAGGAAUUGUAGCCAACAAAGAGUUCAGGUCUUACAACUGCCCCAAGUACCAACCAGAGCCCCUGGUUAAUCAUGCACCAAGACUCGAUGCUGAGGGACUGGACCUCCUCUCAAAGCUGCUACAGUUUGAAGGGAAGAACCGCCUCUCUGCACAGCAGGCCAUGAGGCACCCUCACUUCCACAGCCUCGGGGAGAGGGUC